This 443-nucleotide ribosomal RNA is filed under the name uncultured bacterium. RNAcentral describes it as "partial 16S ribosomal RNA". It matches the Rfam family "Bacterial small subunit ribosomal RNA", at positions 338 to 795 of the family's 1533-position model. The record is from RNAcentral.
CCUACGGGAGACAGCAGUGGGGAAGAAUGGGCAAUGGGCGCAAGCCUGACCCAGCAACGCUGCGUGAAGGAAGAAGGCUUUCGGGUUGUAUACUUCUUUUCUGAGGGACGACGAAAGUGACUGUACCUCCGGAAUAAGCCGUGCCCAACUACGUGCCAGCAGCCGCGGCAAUACGUAGGUGGCAAGCGUUAUCCGGCUUUAGUGGGGUUAAAGGGCGUGGUGGCGGGAAAGCAAGGCAGAUGUGAAAACUAAGGGCUCAAACCUGGGCCUGCCUUUGAAACUGUUUUUCUUGAGUGCUGGAGAGGCAAGCGGAAUUCGGUGUGUAGCGGUGAAAUGCGUAGAUAUACGGAAGAACACCAGUGGCGAAGGCAGAUUGCUGGACAGUAACUGACGCUGAGGCGCGAAAGCGUGGGGAGCGAACAGGAUUAGAUACCCUGGUAGUC